RNAcentral lists this small nuclear RNA (71 nucleotides) under Nippostrongylus brasiliensis. Lineage: Eukaryota; Metazoa; Nematoda; Chromadorea; Rhabditida; Heligmosomidae. The record is from RNAcentral.
GCACCUUUACCUUUACCUUUACUAAAAUUGGAACAAUACAGAGAACAUUGGCACGGCCUCUGCGCAAGGAU